GGGGAGGCCUUAUACAGGUGGUUUGCAUGGCUGUCGUCAGCUCGUGUCGUGAGAUGUUCGGUUAAGUCCGCUAACGAGCGCAACCCUCGUCGUAUGUUAUAUGUGUCAUACGAGACUGCCGGUAAAAAGCCGGAGGAAGGUGAGGAUGAUGUCAAGUCAGCAUGACCUUUAUAUCCAGGGCUACACACACGCUACAAUGGUCUGUACAAUGGGUAGCCAAGCCGCGAGGCGGAGCCAAUCCUGAAAGCAGGCCUCAGUUCAGAUUGCAGUCUGCAACUCGACUGCAUGAAGCCGGAGUUGCUAGUAACCGCAGGUCAGCAAUACUGCGGUGAAUACGUUCCCGGGUCUU
RNAcentral lists this ribosomal RNA (349 nucleotides) under uncultured Anaerolineaceae bacterium. RNAcentral describes it as "bacterial SSU rRNA". It matches the Rfam family "Bacterial small subunit ribosomal RNA", at positions 1021 to 1382 of the family's 1533-position model. The record is from RNAcentral. Lineage: Bacteria; Bacillati; Chloroflexota; Anaerolineae; Anaerolineales; Anaerolineaceae.